This 460-nucleotide ribosomal RNA is filed under the name Cordilura ontario. Its description in RNAcentral is "partial 16S ribosomal RNA". The stretch from base 342 to 460 matches the Rfam family "Bacterial large subunit ribosomal RNA", at positions 2473 to 2591 of the family's 2925-position model. Lineage: Eukaryota; Metazoa; Arthropoda; Insecta; Diptera; Scathophagidae. The record is from RNAcentral.
UUUAAAUGGCCGCAGUAUAUUAACUGUGCAAAGGUAGCAUAAUCAUUAGUCUUUUAAUUGAAGGCUGGUAUGAAUGGUUGGAUGAGAUAUUAACUGUUUCAUAAAAAUUUAUAUUAGAAUUUUAUUUUUUAGUCAAAAAGCUAAAAUUUAUUUAAAAGACGAGAAGACCCUAUAAAUCUUUAUAUUUAAUUUAUUAUAAUUAAAUAGAUUUUUUUUGUUAUAAUAAUAAAUAAUAUUUUAUUGGGGUGAUAUUAAAAUUUAAUAAACUUUUAAUUAUUUAAAUCAUUAAUUUAUGAUUAAUUGAUCCGUUAUUAACGAUUAAAAAAAUAAGUUACUUUAGGGAUAACAGCGUAAUUUUUUUGGAGAGUUCAUAUUGAUAAAAAAGAUUGCGACCUCGAUGUUGGAUUAAGAUAUAAUUUUAGGUGUAGUUGCUUAAAUUUUAAGUCUGUUCGACUUUUAA